Molecule: long non-coding RNA, 505 nt
Organism: Pseudopipra pipra
Lineage: Eukaryota; Metazoa; Chordata; Aves; Passeriformes; Pipridae
Exons: 2
Source: RefSeq, a predicted model, not a curated record
CAGGGCCAGCCCCCAUGGCUGGCAGGAGCUGUUCCAGGGCUCUGUGAUGCAACACUUCCCAGGGCAGCUGCGGUAGCUUGGGGCAAAGGGGUGGGACUGCCAACAGAUCCAGCUAUCAAAGACAGAGGAGGGACGAGGCAUGUGGUUUGGGAACAAACAGGAGCUGUAAUUCAUGUUUGUUUUACUGCUGAACAGUCUUCAAUGUUCCAGUCAUGACUCCAGCCCUUCACUUUGCUAGAACAAAGUCUACAGCUGGACAGAGAGCUCAGGAUUUUCUGCAAGUGUGCACAAAACUACACCAUCAACUACUUUCAACAGGCCUGGGCACCUGCAACCUCAAAAAAAAAGUGGUGUUGAGCACGGGAUGUGCAGAGGAAAAGGUGCUCAGGGGGCAGCACCCGACAGAACAGGAGACUGAGGUGACCACGGAAGAGCUGCAUUUACCAGCAAUGCCCCAGCUCCAAGCAGUAGGGAUAGAAAAGAAAUAAAGGCCCUAAAUAUGGCA